This 252-nucleotide ribosomal RNA is filed under the name uncultured Bacteroidales bacterium. Its description in RNAcentral is "partial 16S ribosomal RNA". It matches the Rfam family "Bacterial small subunit ribosomal RNA", at positions 524 to 776 of the family's 1533-position model. Lineage: Bacteria; Pseudomonadati; Bacteroidota; Bacteroidia; Bacteroidales. The record is from RNAcentral.
UACGGAGGAUGCGAGCGUUAUCCGGAUUUAUUGGGUUUAAAGGGUGCGUAGGCGGAUUUGUAAGUCAGCGGUAAAAAUGCGGUGCUCAACCCCGACAAGCCGUUGAAACUGGCUUGCUAGAGUGGGCGAGAAGUAUGCGGAAUGCGUGGUGUAGCGGUGAAAUGCAUAGAUAUCACGCAGAACUCCGAUUGCGAAGGCAGCAUACCGGUGCACAACUGACGCUCAGGCACGAAAGCGUGGGUAUCGAACAGG